UGAGGAAUAUUGGGCAAUGCCCGCAAGGGUGACCCAGCAACGCCGCGUGGAGGAUGAAUGUCGUAAGAUUGUAAACUCCUGUUAGAGGGGAAGAAUAGUACCGGUUGGACCGGUAUAUGACUGUACCCUCAGAGAAAGCCCCGGCUAACUACGUGCCAGCAGCCGCGGUAAUACGUAGGGGGCAAGCGUUGUCCGGAUUUACUGGGUGUAAAGGGCGCGCAGGCGGGAUAAAAAGUCAGUGGUGAAAUCCUACAGCUUAACUGUAGAACUGCCUUUGAUACUUUUACUCUUGAGUUCGGGAGAGAGAGACGGAAUUCCAGGUGUAGUGGUGAAAUACGUAGAUAUCUGGAAGAACACCAGUUGCGAAGGCGGUCUCUUGGUCCGACACUGACGCUGAGGCGCGAAAGCGUGGGGAGCAAACA
RNAcentral lists this ribosomal RNA (422 nucleotides) under uncultured bacterium. RNAcentral's name for it is "bacterial SSU rRNA". It matches the Rfam family "Bacterial small subunit ribosomal RNA", at positions 355 to 774 of the family's 1533-position model. The record is from RNAcentral.